This 507-nucleotide ribosomal RNA is filed under the name uncultured eubacterium WR840. RNAcentral describes it as "bacterial SSU rRNA". It matches the Rfam family "Bacterial small subunit ribosomal RNA", at positions 9 to 527 of the family's 1533-position model. The record is from RNAcentral.
GAGUUUGAUCAUGGCUCAGGACGAACGCUGGCGGCGUGCUUAACACAUGCAAGUCGAACGGUGACCUCGGAGCUUGCUCCGGGUGAUCAGUGGCGAACGGGUGAGUAACACGUGAGUAACCUGCCCCAGACUCUGGGAUAACUUCGGGAAACCGGAGCUAAUACCGGAUAUGACACGAAGAGGCAUCUCUAUCGUGUGGAAAGUUUUUCGGUCUGGGAUGGACUCGCGGCCUAUCAGCUUGUUGGUGAGGUAACGGCUCACCAAGGCGACGACGGGUAGCCGGCCUGAGAGGGCGACCGGCCACACUGGGACUGAGACACGGCCCAGACUCCUACGGGAGGCAGCAGUGGGGAAUAUUGCACAAUGGGCGAAAGCCUGAUGCAGCGACGCCGCGUGAGGGAUGACGGCCUUCGGGUUGUAAACCUCUUUCAGCAGGGAAGAAGCAAAAGUGACGGUACCUGCAGAAGAAGCACCGGCUAACUGCGUGCCAGCAGCCGCGGUAAUACG